UGUUGAUGAACCUUGUGGGGGAUUGACGGACGGCUCAGUGAUAGUACGAUGAUUUGGUUGGCGGGAGAGCUGUAACUGCGGGAAACUGCAGGUAGGGGGCUAGGAGUGUUUUUGACACGAGCCAAGUAAGUUGUAGGCCUAUCAGCUGGUAGUUAGGGUAAUGGCCUAACUAGGCGGAGACGGGAGACGGGGGAUCAGGGUUUGGUUCCGGAGAGG
RNAcentral lists this ribosomal RNA (216 nucleotides) under Encephalitozoon intestinalis. RNAcentral's name for it is "partial small subunit ribosomal RNA". It matches the Rfam family "Microsporidia small subunit ribosomal RNA", at positions 55 to 250 of the family's 1311-position model. Lineage: Eukaryota; Fungi; Microsporidia; Unikaryonidae. The record is from RNAcentral.